CCUUGUAUGAGCCAAAACCACUCACAACCUCGUAACACACUGUCUAAUAUGCUUCAUUUGUUUCUUGCAGAGUGGUCUGACUAUCCUGAAAAAGCAUAUUAAGUGCUUGGAGGACACACAACGGUCUCUUCCCGUCCAUCAGGGAGCUGCGGGGGAUCCCUGAAUCAGUCCUUUCCCUGGUUUUCCCAUUCCCAGUCACCAAGCAUUGUUGAUUCUUCUUGUGGCACUCUGCCUCCUUCACCCCUCCCGCCCCUUCUCAGACCAGAUCUCCAGGAGAAAGCCUGAUGGGUGUUGUGGCUCCACCCAUCUGGGGGUGAGACCCUGCCACAGCAGCCUGGACUGCUGGGCUCCUGAAAGAAUAAGCCUAUCAGUUCUUUUUCCUCCACUUGUUUACAGACAGUAGAAAAUGCCGUGAUCUUGGGAGGAGUUGGGACUUCAGCACGAAACCCAUGCUUCCCCUGAGGCACUGGACCAGGCCCAAGCUGUAUGAGACCGCAGCACCACUCACCGUUCACAGUGUCUGAAACGGAGCCUGUUAUGGAAGCAGGAGAGUUGGUGGCCCGAGACUGGGGGGCUGAGGAGGCUGGGUCAUCCACGAUGACCAGCAUAUCACUGCUGCUCUCGUCCAGGGGGAUGGAGCCGGUGUGCAGCUCACUGCUGAUGGAGAUCUGGAGGAGGAAGGGUCGUGAUCACCACCAUUCUUGGCGCCCACAGCCCAUGGCCCUCAUACUCAUCCCCCUUCCCCAAGGCAGAAGAACUCCAGGAGAAGCAAAGGCUACAAGGUCAGGACAUAGUCCCCACCGCUGGGAUGAAGGCAUCUAAAAGGAGCCUCACCUCACUGAAAGGGCUGGGCAUGGCCGA
Long non-coding RNA from Mirounga angustirostris (Northern elephant seal), 861 nucleotides. RefSeq lists it as uncharacterized. Lineage: Eukaryota; Metazoa; Chordata; Mammalia; Carnivora; Phocidae. The transcript has 3 exons. The record is from RefSeq and is a predicted model, not a curated record.